CCUACGGGAGGCAGCAGUGGGGAAUAUUGCACAAUGGGGGGAACCCUGAUGCAGCGACGCCGCGUGAGUGAAGAAGGAUUUCGGUAUGUAAAGCUCUAUCAGCAGGGAAGAAAAUGACGGUACCUGACGAAGAAGCCCCGGCUAACUACGUGCCAGCAGCCGCGGUAAUACGAAGGGGGCAAGCGUUCUCCGGAGUUACUGGGUGUAAAGGGAGCGUAGACGGCAGAGCAAGUCUGAAGUGAAAGCCCGCGGCCCCACUGCGGGACUGCUUUUGAAACUGCCCGGCUAGAGUGCUGGAGAGGUCAGCGGACUUCCUUGUGUAGCGGUGAACUGCGUAGAUAUUAGGCGGAACUCCAGUGGCGAAGGCGGCUUACUGGACAGUAACUGACGUUGAGGCUCGAAAGCGUGGGGAGCAAACAGGAUUAGAUACCCCGGUAGUC
RNAcentral lists this ribosomal RNA (440 nucleotides) under uncultured bacterium. RNAcentral's name for it is "partial 16S ribosomal RNA". It matches the Rfam family "Bacterial small subunit ribosomal RNA", at positions 338 to 795 of the family's 1533-position model. The record is from RNAcentral.